RNAcentral lists this ribosomal RNA (406 nucleotides) under uncultured bacterium. Its description in RNAcentral is "partial 16S ribosomal RNA". It matches the Rfam family "Bacterial small subunit ribosomal RNA", at positions 30 to 526 of the family's 1533-position model. The record is from RNAcentral.
AUUGAACGCUGGCGGCAGGCCUAACACAUGCAAGUCGAACGAGUGGCGGACGGGUGAGUAAUGUCUGGGAAACUGCCCGAGGGGGGGGGAUACCUAUGGGAAAGGGAAGCUAAUACCGAUAACCAUCGGAGUGCCCAAAAUGGGAUUAGCUAUUAGGUGGGGUAACGGCUCACCUAGGCGACGAUCCCUAGCUGGUCUGAGAGGAUGACCAGCCACACUGGAACUGAGACACGGUCCAGACUCCUACGUGAGGCAGCAGUGGGGAAUAUUGCACAAUGGGCGCAAGCCUGAUGCAGCCAUGCCGCGUGUAUGAAGAAGGCCUUCGGGUUGUAAAGUACUUUCAGCGAGGAGGCGUUACUCGCAGAAGAAGCACUGGCUAACUCCGUGCCAGCAGCCGCGGUAAUAC